Molecule: transfer RNA, 85 nt
Filed under: Felis catus (domestic cat)
Lineage: Eukaryota; Metazoa; Chordata; Mammalia; Carnivora; Felidae
Also listed under: 3 other names
Rfam family: tRNA
About the family: Transfer RNA (tRNA) molecules are approximately 80 nucleotides in length.
Source: Rfam by way of RNAcentral
ACCUGGGUGACUCAGUUGGUUGAGUGUCUGACUUCAGCUCAGGUCAUGAUCUUGUGGUUUGUGAGUUCAAGCCCCACAUCAGGUU